GCCUUCGUGGUGUAACGGUAGCACAUUCGGCGCGUAAUCAAGAGAACCGGGUUCGAAUCCUGGCGACGGCA
Molecule: transfer RNA, 71 nt
Filed under: Stegodyphus mimosarum
Lineage: Eukaryota; Metazoa; Arthropoda; Arachnida; Araneae; Eresidae
Rfam family: tRNA
About the family: Transfer RNA (tRNA) molecules are approximately 80 nucleotides in length. Their secondary structure includes four short double-helical elements and three loops (D, anti-codon, and T loops). Further hydrogen bonds mediate the characteristic L-shaped molecular structure. tRNAs have two regions of fundamental functional importance: the anti-codon, which is responsible for specific mRNA codon recognition, and the 3' end, to which the tRNAs corresponding amino acid is attached (by aminoacyl-tRNA synthetases). tRNAs cope with the degeneracy of the genetic code in two manners: having more than one tRNA (with a specific anti-codon) for a particular amino acid; and 'wobble' base-pairing, i.e. permitting non-standard base-pairing at the 3rd anti-codon position.
Source: Rfam by way of RNAcentral